GGCCGUGCGGGGCCGGAGCCCGGCCGGCUCCCCGCGGGGCUCGGGCAGGGCUCCCCUGCGCUGUCCCCGCGCCCAUCGCGGGUCCCGUCACGGUGGGUGGGUGCCCGGCCCCGCACUCCCCGCUGAAAGCUGCCGUCGUGCCAGCGCUGCCGCGAUGUGCCCGGGUGCGGAGGGCAGCCCGUAAUCGGUCGGUGACCCACUGCAGUUCACUAAAGUGUUACAGCAAACAGGAGGUGUUUUCCUGCCGUUCCAGCAGCUGAAUGGCGAGUUGGCCCCCAGCGCAGCCAGCAUCGGGAAUUCUGGUGGCAGGGGUUGGUGUGGAGCAUCUCUCCUCCGUGCUGGACGCUCAGGGCACAGCCACCCGCUCUUGCUGCAAGGCGCCUUCAGCUGCUGGGACACCGCCAAAGACAUGGACACGGGCACCGCGACAUUCCCGUGUCUCCUUUUUCGACAAAAUCGGGACCAUCCCCAGCUGGCAGCUACUGUAACCUCGGACCAAUGCGCUGACUCUUCUUCCUGUAGCAGACAUCUCAGGCUAAGCCCGAACAAGCUGCCUUUGCAAGGGAUUCCAGAAGCUGAUAAAGGUGUGAAGCCGAAGGAAGGAGGCUCCUGCAGUAGCCAAGAAAGGGGAAAGGUCUCUGGCAGUGGUGGCUCCAGGAAGGCAGAACAACUUUAUUACAGGCUUUUUUGAGAUUGCUGUAAACAAUUCACCUGUGUCCUAAAAGUGGCUGGGAGUGGCAGCACGUCCAUGCUGAGCUGUGUGAAACGGCCCCUGCCCAGGCACGUAUCACUGCCAGCAGGUUACAGGCACAGGCACAAGCAGUUUUCCUUGGAAUUACAGCUUCUCACUGCUGCAAGCUCUGCUGCCUGAAAUGUGGAAGAAGAUGAAGAUCAGCUGAACAGGGGAGUCUCCAGGAAGACAAACAAACAAACACAACCCUCGUUCACAUCCUCACAAUCAGAAAAAUAUUCCUUAAGAGUGACCCAGGAAGAAGAAGUUGAGUUUGAAUAAAAUAUUUGCCUGUUCUUAAUA
Vidua macroura (Pin-tailed whydah) is the source of this 1033-nucleotide long non-coding RNA. RefSeq lists it as uncharacterized. The record is from RefSeq and is a predicted model, not a curated record. NCBI's taxonomy places the organism in Eukaryota, Metazoa, Chordata, Aves, Passeriformes, Viduidae. The transcript is spliced from 2 exons.